RNAcentral lists this ribosomal RNA (490 nucleotides) under uncultured bacterium. RNAcentral describes it as "partial 16S ribosomal RNA". It matches the Rfam family "Bacterial small subunit ribosomal RNA", at positions 30 to 507 of the family's 1533-position model. The record is from RNAcentral.
AUUGAACGCUGGCGGCAGGCCUAACACAUGCAAGUCGAACGGUAACAGGAAGAAGCUUGCUUCUUUGCUGACGAGUGGCGGACGGGUGAGUAAUGUCUGGGAAACUGCCUGAUGGAGGGGGAUAACUACUGGAAACGGUAGCUAAUACCGCAUAACGUCGCAAGACCAAAGAGGGGGACCUUCGGGCCUCUUGCCAUCGGAUGUGCCCAGAUGGGAUUAGCUAGUAGGUGGGGUAACGGCUCACCUAGGCGACGAUCCCUAGCUGGUCUGAGAGGAUGACCAGCCACACUGGAACUGAGACACGGUCCAGACUCCUACGGGAGGCAGCAGUGGGGAAUAUUGCACAAUGGGCGCAAGCCUGAUGCAGCCAUGCCGCGUGUAUGAAGAAGGUCUUCGGGUUGUAAAGUACUUUCAGCGGGGAGGAAGGGAGUAAAGUUAAUACCUUUGCUCAUUGACGUUACCCGCAGAAGAAGCACCGGCUAACUCCGUG